Molecule: long non-coding RNA, 1788 nt
Filed under: Mus musculus (house mouse)
Lineage: Eukaryota; Metazoa; Chordata; Mammalia; Rodentia; Muridae
Description: predicted gene, 57036
Rfam family: tRNA (bases 110-182)
Source: RNAcentral
ACUGAGUCGCGACAUUCAACAAACCGACCAGACUGAGGUUAGAAGCAGGAAGCAUAGUGAAGCUGUGUAAUUGGAGAUCACUUAUCGUGGAGGAGGCCUCCUCAGCACCGGGCCAGUGGCGCAAUGGAUAACGCGUCUGACUACGGAUCAGAAGAUUCUAGGUUCGACUCCUGGCUGGCUCGACGUGUGCGAUCUUUUUCCUGAACCUUGGAAGGCCUGCUUGAAAAGGAUCAUAGCUAGAUUGUCAAGGUCAAAUGUCUUACGUUUUAAUGUUGCUUUGCGAAAAAAUAAUACCUUCUUGGCUGUAUUUGAAACCCGGAGUUACCUAAAACGGUUUGCAAGUUUCCUAGCUCCCCUGUUCUUAAAAUUGCGCAGGAGUCUGGAAAUGUACUCUUACGAAAACACUCUUGAGAGUGGAGGUUUGCAAUCAGGGACAGGGACAUGCGUGGCCAAUGUCUUCCCACCCGAUGACGGAAAAAUCUCACCGAAAGCUCCUAGCUGGUAGAACACAGACGGCACUGACAUGAGAAGGGCGUAGCUUCUGCUCUUCAUGAUUGGUACAGCGGCCUUGGCUAGCUCCGCUUGCAAAGCCGACCUAGCCUCCACUGCACAAGGAAACCUUAAAAAUUCGGGGAUUUCGCAGUAAGAGGCCCAGAAAAACGAGUACAUGAACAUUUUACGUAAGACCUGAGAUAGCCAGAAACAGAUGUGACGAAGGUGGAUCGGGAGCAGGGCUCAGCCUAUUCAUUAACCAGUCACUCCAUGAUUAAGUUGUCCUAGAAAACAUACCCCACUCCCCAGGAGUUUAUUAAAACUGUAUCAGAUAAAGGAAAUUAUUGGGGCAGAAUUAGACCAAGGACCAAGGGGUGUGGCUCACUCCUGCAGUCCAUACUGCUGGAUAUAGACCAGGCCAAAUGGCUGCCUUUGCUUUCCAGAGUACUGGAAUUUAAGGUACAAGAUACCAUACCAGGCUUCUACACUUCUGAGGAUUUAGUUUGCUUUUAAUGAAGUUAUAGUGGGUUGUUUCUCGAGACCGGGUUUCCCUGUGUAGUUUUGACUGUCCUGGAACUUGCUCUGUAACCAGGCUGGCCUCCAACUCAGAGAUCCCUGCCUCUGCCUCCUGAAUACUGGUGUAAAAGCACGCACCACUACUGCCCAGCUAACAGUAUUUUUUGUUUGCUCUUUAAUUUUUUGUCUGAGAUUUGAGAUCAUUAAUAUGCAUUGUUGUCAGUUUUAGCACUUAAAAAAAAUGAGGGUUUUUUUUUUUUGUUUUGUUGUGUGUUUUGUUUUGAAGGGUGUGUGUGAUGUGUGUACGUGCAGAGGGGGGAGGGGAAGAGAAAGAGAGACUGACUGAGGCUGUCUUAUAUAAGACAGUGGGCCUUUACUUGGCUAUGGAAAUGGACUUGGAACUCUGAUUCAAGCUCCCAAGGUGCUGAGGUUAUAAGCAAGCACCACCAACCACACCUGGUUUAAGAGUUCUUGCUUUAAGAUGUUCUAUUUGGGUGGAUAAGUGGACACUUUAAAGGUCCAUCUCAUAGGCAUUUAGAUUUUUGGUACAUAUUUUCAAAUUGCUCUGUGGAAAAAUUAAAACAAUAUACCCUCUGUCACCAGAAUGUUUCCACACAUGCUAAUCAACAUUAGAUAUUUAUGAAUACAUAUAACAUAUAAAUUAGAUAUCCAAGUCUCAUGUACUAGCAUAUACCUAAAAUUCUAGAAUUUGAGACAGAGAGGUGUUGAUCUGGAGACCUUAUCUUUAAAAAAAAUAAAGCAUCCACAUACAAAUAUAAA